AUCCAUCAGACGAGUCCCAAAUAAAACGAAACGCGCAUCCUGGAU
This 45-nucleotide non-coding RNA is filed under the name Schistosoma haematobium. The record is from RNAcentral. Lineage: Eukaryota; Metazoa; Platyhelminthes; Trematoda; Strigeidida; Schistosomatidae.